Molecule: non-coding RNA, 481 nt
Organism: Lupinus albus (white lupine)
Lineage: Eukaryota; Viridiplantae; Streptophyta; Magnoliopsida; Fabales; Fabaceae
Source: the annotation of a GenBank genome assembly
AUGCGUGCGGUGAUGAUACUAUUAUGUGGACUAGAGUUUCUGAUCUGGGUAUUAACUCAGAAGUUGAUUACAAAACCCUUGGCUGUCUGAGCACACCUUAAAUCCCCAAAAAAUUGUAGUUUUUUUUUCUUAUCGUCUAUGGGAUCAUGCUUUUUUAUAAUCCUUCAGUUUAUGCAGAAUUUCCUCAAUUUUAUAAUGCGGUUUGCUGAACUUGUUUAAAAAAUCAUGGCUUAUGAUGAUAAUAUACUUAUCUUAGCGGAUUUCAGUGAGAUUUUGGUCAAUGAUCUGAUUGUUACACACACUGAAGCCUUUGUCCUUUAAAUGACAUGAAAUAUUGUAAGAAGUAAUUGCGUCCAUUACCAAUUCCGGGGGAUAUUAUGUUCCUCCUGGAUAAUGGCUCGGACGCUAUAUUUAGAUGUGGUCAUCCUGAUUUAUGGUUUCUUUACAAUACCAUUUGGUCUUGGAAACGCCACCAACAUCU